This 402-nucleotide ribosomal RNA is filed under the name Bacteroidota bacterium. Its description in RNAcentral is "Bacteroidetes bacterium partial 16S ribosomal RNA". It matches the Rfam family "Bacterial small subunit ribosomal RNA", at positions 355 to 776 of the family's 1533-position model. The record is from RNAcentral. Lineage: Bacteria; Pseudomonadati; Bacteroidota.
UGGGGAAUUUUGCACAAUGGGGGAAACCCUGAUGCAGCGACGCUGCGUGAUUUAGAAGGCCUUCGGGUUGUAAAAAUCUUUUUUACGGGAUGAAAAUGACAGUACCGUAAGAAUAAGGUCCGGCUAAAUACGUGCCAGCAGCCGCGGUAAUACGUAUGGACCGAGCGUUGUCCGGAAUCAUUGGGCGUAAAGGGUACGUAGGCGGCCCAGUAAGUUAGAAGUGAAAUAAUAUAGCUCAACUAUAUAAAGCUUUUAAAACUGCUAGGCUUGAGAGAUGGAAGGGAAAGUGGAAUUCCUAGUGUAGCGGUUAAAUGCGCAGAUAUUAGGAAGAAUACCGGUGGCGAAGGCGACUUUCUGGUCAUCAUCUGACGCUGAGGUACGAAAGCGUGGGUAGCAAACAGG